This 335-nucleotide ribosomal RNA is filed under the name uncultured Pseudomonadota bacterium. RNAcentral's name for it is "bacterial SSU rRNA". It matches the Rfam family "Bacterial small subunit ribosomal RNA", at positions 29 to 351 of the family's 1533-position model. Lineage: Bacteria; Pseudomonadati; Pseudomonadota. The record is from RNAcentral.
AGCGAACGCUGGCGGCGUGCCUAACACAUGCAAGUCGAACGUGAACGGGGGCAACCCUUAGUAAAGUGGCGUACGGGUGAGUAACACGUAGGUAAUCUACCAAAAAGUCUGGAAUAACCGGCCGAAAGGCUGGCUAAUACUGGAUAGAGCGACGGGAUCCGUAAUUGGGUCUUUCGGGAAAGGGAGCUCGCAAGAGCCUUCGCUUUUUGAUGAGCCUGCGUCUCAUUAGCUAGUUGGCGGGUAACGGCCCACCAAGGCAGUGAUGAGUAGCUGGUCUGAGAGGAUGAUCAGCCACACUGGAACUGAAACACGGUCCAGACUCCUACGGGAGGCAG